This is a long non-coding RNA of Pteropus alecto (black flying fox), 601 nucleotides long. RefSeq lists it as uncharacterized. Lineage: Eukaryota; Metazoa; Chordata; Mammalia; Chiroptera; Pteropodidae. The transcript is spliced from 3 exons. The record is from RefSeq and is a predicted model, not a curated record.
CUUUAAAAAGCCAUUUCGUUGCAUGAGACCCAGCAGAGUGAGUAGGUGGCUGAAGUAUUUGACUGAAGAUCCUGUAACCGGGGCAAGCUUCUGAGCCCCCUCAGUUCUCGGCUUUUUCGUAUGUGUGAUCCUGGCAGCCGCUCUAAAGGGUUGUGGUGCGCCGAGAAUGAACUGGGAUAUAGUGUGGAUUUCACCGACUGCAGGAGCCCCAGGCCACUUCUGAGGCAUCCCUAGGGUUCCAGGGAACACGGUUUGAAACUACAGUGUUUCAGGAUUACUGGGCAAAAGCAGAAUGAAACUCACUUUAACAAAUCUGCCUGUCCUAAAGUAAACCUGGACCCAUCCUAAGCUUCUCGAGGGCCAGCAGGACAUGGCACCCACUGAAACCACAAGUGUCUGUUGAAUGAAUGAAUGAGUUAAGCGCUGCGUUUUCACCUCAGAGCCGGGGCCUGGCCUCUCUGUCCCGGAACACCACCUUUUAAGGCGACAGAGUCUCUGACUUGCUCUGGGACGCUAGAGCUUGUGCUUUGGUUGCCUUCGUACCAGAAUAAUUUGUGACAUCUCAGGUGGAACUGCUGGUGAUAUAAUCAAGACUUCAAAA